RNAcentral lists this ribosomal RNA (254 nucleotides) under uncultured bacterium. RNAcentral describes it as "partial 16S ribosomal RNA". It matches the Rfam family "Bacterial small subunit ribosomal RNA", at positions 524 to 776 of the family's 1533-position model. The record is from RNAcentral.
UACGUAGGGUGCAAGCGUUAAUCGGAAUUACUGGGCGUAAAGCGUGCGCAGGCGGCUUUGCAAGACAGAUGUGAAAUCCCCCGGGCUCAACCUGGGAACUGCAUUUGUGACUGCAUGGCUAGAGUGCGGCAGAGGGGGAUGGAAUUCCGCGUGUAGCAGUGAAAUGCGUAGAUAUGCGGAGGAACACCGAUGGCGAAGGCAAUCCCCUGGGCCUGCACUGACGCUCAUGCACGAAAGCGUGGGGAGCAAACAGG